GAUGAACGCUGGCGGCGUGCCUAAUACAUGCAAGUCGAGCGAAUGGAUUAAGAGCUUGCUCUUAUGAAGUUAGCGGCGGACGGGUGAGUAACACGUGGGUAACCUGCCCAUAAGACUAGGAUAACUACGGGAAACCGGGGCUAAUACCGGAUACCAUUUUGAACCGCAUGGUUCGAAAUUGAAAGGCGGGUUCGGCUGUCACUUAUGGAUGGACCCGCGUCGCAUUAGCUAGUUGGUGAGGUAACGGCUCACCAAGGCAACGAUGCGUAGCCGACCUGAGAGGGUGAUCGGCCACACUGGGACUGAGACACGGCCCAGACUCCUACGGGAGGCAGCAGUAGGGAAUCUUCCGCAAUGGACGAAAGUCUGACGGAGCAACGCCGCGUGAGUGAUGAAGGCUUUCGGGUCGUAAAACUCUGUUGUUAGGGAAGAACAAGUGCUAGUUGAAUAAGCUGGCACCUUGACGGUACCUAACCAGAAAGCCACGGCUAACUACGUGCCAGCCGCCGCCGUAA
RNAcentral lists this ribosomal RNA (515 nucleotides) under uncultured bacterium. RNAcentral describes it as "partial 16S ribosomal RNA". It matches the Rfam family "Bacterial small subunit ribosomal RNA", at positions 28 to 523 of the family's 1533-position model. The record is from RNAcentral.